UAAUACGUAGGGUGCAAGCGUUAAUCGGAAUUAUUGGGCGUAAAGGGUGCGCAGGCGGUUGUAUAAGUCAGAUGUGAAAUCCCUGGGCUUAACCUAGGAAUUGCGUUUGAAACUAUAUGACUAGAGUGUGACAGAGGGGAGUGGAAUUCCAUGUGUAGCAGUGAAAUGCGUAGAGAUGUGGAAGAACACCGAUGGCGAAGGCAGCUCCCUGGGUUAACACUGACGCUCAUGCACGAAAGCGUGGGGAGCAAACAGGAUUAGAUACCCUGGUAGUCC
This 276-nucleotide ribosomal RNA is filed under the name uncultured Nitrosomonadales bacterium. RNAcentral's name for it is "partial 16S ribosomal RNA". It matches the Rfam family "Bacterial small subunit ribosomal RNA", at positions 521 to 796 of the family's 1533-position model. Lineage: Bacteria; Pseudomonadati; Pseudomonadota; Betaproteobacteria; Nitrosomonadales. The record is from RNAcentral.